UUCUCGCUUUGGUCUCAGGGAUCCCCGGCAGGUCACGACACGACCCGCGCUGGAGCCGGUCGGAAGGCAUGGGUUGGUCUCAGAAUUUGUUCCGUGUCUUGUGGAGAGCGCUGUCAAAGGAAGUGAAGGAGCAAGUGGGCACAGACCGGUUCGGGAACAAAUACUACUAUAUCCCAGAGUACAAGAACUGGAGAGGACAAACUAUUCGAGAGAAAAGAAUUGUAGAAUCAGCAAAUAAAAGAGAAAUAGACUAUGAAGUAGGGGAUAUCCCAACAGAAUGGGAAGCUUGGAUCAGAAAAACUAGAAAGACUCCACCUACUAUGGAGGAAGGAAGAUGCUUGGACACUCUUUGGAGGUGUGUGGACUGGAGAGUUCCAUUUGAAUUGAGGGUCACUUACCCAUCUACCUCCCCACAGUACCCUUGCCUCUUUGGGGAAACAGUACCAGCUGUCCCUCUGAGAUGUCAGCAGCCUGUUUUCAAGUCUCAAGUCAGUCGUACUCACUAUGGAUGAGAUUGGUUGAGAAUGAUAUCCUUCAGUACUUCACUACAGGGGACUCUUUGAUGUGACCUUCUCAGAAACGAGUUAACCUCAUGCAUGACUUUCUGACUGUCCACCCCACCAGAUUCAGCUUCAGUGGAGAAGGGCCAUUGUUGGCAUACUGCUUCAAAUCCCAGGCCAGGGAAGCCAGGACAGUGGUGCAAGACAUGGAAGGAAACAAUGAAGAGUGAAAAAUAUAAAGAAGAAAUUAAAAUGAAAACCAAAGACUUUCAUGAAAAAGA
This is an RNA transcript of Mesoplodon densirostris (Blainville's beaked whale), 781 nucleotides long. It is a transcript of the gene named NADH:ubiquinone oxidoreductase complex assembly factor 2, with no coding region annotated. Lineage: Eukaryota; Metazoa; Chordata; Mammalia; Artiodactyla; Ziphiidae. The transcript is spliced from 6 exons. The record is from RefSeq and is a predicted model, not a curated record.